CCACCACAACUAAAGGGCAGGACUCCUCUUUGCCUUCCCACCUCUUUUUUUUUAAUGUGUGGGUUUCUUUGGGAGAGGGUUAAAAUUGCCUUUUGUCCAGCCGGGCUGAGACGGGGGCGUUUUUGUCCGGGGAAGCUUUAACGCUGGGUGAGCAGGGAGAAAAGGCAGAGCCCAGGAGCCUUUGUGAUGCCAUGAACUUGUGGGGCUGAGGAUGGGGUUCAGGGGGACUGCCACUCCCAGAAUCCCCCCGCCAAAGGCAGUCCGAGCAAGCCCUGGGUCCCAACCACGGCUGUUGGACCAAAGUUUAUUUAAACAGCCCAAAGGCUCCAGAUGAGCGGGUGUGAAGGAGAUGUCUCCCCCCGGUUGCCUCCUGCCACGGGCCACUGCCAAACCAAACAAGUCCGGGGGGAGAAGAAGCCGGAGACAGGAAAUUGGAAGUGCCCUGUGUGUGUCUGCCUUUGUGCGCGCCUUGUGUUUUUGUCUGACGCCAAGUUUCCCCUGAGUGCGUCCAUUUGGACUCCGUCUAGCCUGGCAGGCUCCAGAAACCAGAAAACCUCCAAAAAAGCCUGGCCCGAGGAGGAAGAGAGAGGAAGCCUCCUUCCUUUUGUACCUUCUUGGAGAAGAAGGACUCCAUGUGUCCCCAAAAGUGCCGGGAUUGCAGGUGAAACACCUCCACCAGGUAACCUGCUCACCGAAGAGUCAACUUGCCAGAUGGUUCCAGCCGAGUGGACUUUGCCUUCUGUAUUCCUCUUAUGGUGCCGUCAUCUGAUAACAGCGGGCUCCUAUUGAAAACAACCAGAAAAGUGGAGGACAUGGUCACCACUGCAUGCCAGGUAAUGUUGCCACUCAUCAAGAUACUUUUGAAAUUGCUUUGUUCCACAAUGCUGUGCCUACAAGAUAAGCGAAGUCACCAGUCCCAGAAGCAGAGAUGCCAACCACACAGAAGUCAACAAAAUAAUUUAAACAAAAUGGCUACUGCAGCUAAUUUUUCAGCUUUUUCCAAGGGGCAACAAAGAGCUGGGAAGUCUUCUGCCUCUGGAUGAAGUAUGACAUCAGAUGCGAAAAUCAUAUUCAGUCUUGUGGAUGUGACGUACAAGUAACAUACUAUGAACUAUUUCCAAUUGUAUACAGAAAGAGCACAUCUCAUGGAGUAACUCCAGAGAAGGCAAAGUUGUCAACUUUGCCCUUUAUGAAUCCUGGCCACAAUGUAAUGUCAAGACCAACAAUCAAGGGAGAUUCCAACAGUUCCACCAAAUGACACUUUGUCUUUGUCAUUUAGGAUCAUGAAUCAUGAUCAUGAAUCAAAAAACAAUACAGACAGCUGUUUGAAAGCUUUAUUUUUUAAAAAAACACAGUUGAAAAAUGUUUGAGUCUGAAAAUUGAAAGAUACCAUCCAGAAGAGUGCAGAGUCCCUCCCCCCUUUUGUAACACAAACUCUGACCACUUUGGUUCAGAUACUUACAAGAAUUGGCAAGAUAGAACUUCUAACGUAUUUUGGCUGUCUUUUCAAAACAGAUUUACAAAUAAAUCUUUACAAGUAAAAUACUCAUUUUAUGUUUACAUAUUUACAUUUACCAUUGUCCUCUUUAGUUGCACCUAGUAUUAAAGGUGUUGUAAAAAUUGUUCUUUGCUGCUCUAUAAUGGUUAUUUCCAACUACAUUUAAUGAGUUCAGUGGGUAUUUUCUUGCAGAUACACGUUCACUUCGGCAUACUGAAUGCGUAAUAUCAUUCAAAAUUGAGUAAUUUUGAGAGAAAGGAUAUUAAUACGUCUUUAAGAACCAAUUAAAUGUGAUAAGCAAGGCUUUAAGGCUGCAAUGUUUUGUUUAUUAUUGAGCAGUACCAGACCUUAAUGGCAUUCCUUCAAAGCAAGUGUUCCUGUUUGCCAUCUUCCUGACCACUCCUUCACUAAAGAAUAAAUCAAACCUACCUGCCUAGAGCACCUAAGUAUUUUCAAAACAGAUUCAAGACCAAGAAAGGUAAGGUUACCUACGCUCAUAUGGAGUAUAAUUCCCAAACUUUCAUGAGAUCUUUGUUAAUUUUUCCUAGCUAAUGAAGGGACUUGGAUAUAUAGUUGUUCACCUGUGCAAGCCUGGAUUGUCUUCAAAAGCAAAUCCCACAGGAGCCCAGAACAACAUUUUAUUUACCUUUCAACCACUAUUUAGAGGAGCUCCAAUUGAGAUGCAGAGGGAGGUCUCUCCCAAACCUUUUUUCUGUCACCUUGACUCAGGGGCAAGUGAUGGUAGCCAGAGGGUUUUAGUUCUUCUGGGACAUAAUGUACCAUGAAGACGAGUGAAGAUAUGAUGAAUUUGCCUCCAGGUCAGAUUCUAACCCAAAUUUUGGGAGGGGGCAGAAUUAAGCAUGUAUCUAUUUUUUUUAUUGUUUUCCAGCAGGUUUUUAAAAAGCCUUUUAUAAGUUUGGAAAAUUUUGCUAAUGUUCCUAGUUUUAAAAUAGCAAUACUCAAACUAUGUGUCAGGGAAGGAGAGUUUCAGACUAUGGACAACAUCUAGCAGUAGUGGAGUCAUUUUUUUCAGCAGUGGAACCAAGUAUGGAGCCAUGAAAACUAUAAUGAGAUUUUAAGAAGCCCAGUUCUCCUUCAGUGUGGGAUUAGUGCCCUGAUCCACAGAAUCUUGUCUCCACAACAGUAGGCUAUAUCCAUAUCAUUAUUUAACUUCAGCUUAAAGUCUUAAACAUUAGUCACUGACUAGACUAGAAGACACAGGAGAUUGAAAAUGGAAGAUGAUCUAACUGCUCAAUGUAAAAAGUUAGCAGCACGGUAAAAGUGCGCUUGGUAAGCUGAACCAUAGGGGUUUAAGUGUAAGACAUAAACUAGCAUUACUAAUUAAUUUAUUGCUAUUUUUUUUUUGCUUCCACUCAGGAAUAUUAUACUCUUUUAAGAUUCAGUUCUUCAAUGAAGAUAUUAAAGAGACUACAAGGCUCAGAUUUUUCUCAACUGCACAUUGCCCUUAAAAAUUUGAGACCCAAUACUUGUUGUUCAUUAGGUCAACUGCAGUCUAUGCUAUCUAAAUGACUAUUGUGCUCACCAUGAAAUAUUUAUGAAACAUCAGAUACUUAAUGUAGUAACAGAAGCACUCUUCCUUACAAGGCAAUCACAGAUUGCAAGUUCUGUAGAGUUGCAAACACCAACCCUAAAACCCAAAACACAAAGAGUUCUUCAGAAAUACACUGUAAAACAGGAUCAUGUAUAAGAAGCAUUCAGUAACAUUGUUGGCUUGAUCUGUUUUUCUCAUGGCAAAACUUGUUUAGAUUCUGAAACCAGUCAGACUUUCAGAAAGCUCAACAGCUGUCACAUAGGAAUGACUCCCCCCCCCCCCCCCCCCCCAAUAA
Anolis carolinensis (green anole) is the source of this 3345-nucleotide long non-coding RNA. RefSeq lists it as uncharacterized. The transcript has 4 exons. Lineage: Eukaryota; Metazoa; Chordata; Lepidosauria; Squamata; Anolidae. The record is from RefSeq and is a predicted model, not a curated record.